RNAcentral lists this transfer RNA (77 nucleotides) under bacterium. Its description in RNAcentral is "tRNA-Val". It matches the Rfam family "tRNA". From Rfam's summary of the family: Transfer RNA (tRNA) molecules are approximately 80 nucleotides in length. Their secondary structure includes four short double-helical elements and three loops (D, anti-codon, and T loops). Further hydrogen bonds mediate the characteristic L-shaped molecular structure. tRNAs have two regions of fundamental functional importance: the anti-codon, which is responsible for specific mRNA codon recognition, and the 3' end, to which the tRNAs corresponding amino acid is attached (by aminoacyl-tRNA synthetases). tRNAs cope with the degeneracy of the genetic code in two manners: having more than one tRNA (with a specific anti-codon) for a particular amino acid; and 'wobble' base-pairing, i.e. permitting non-standard base-pairing at the 3rd anti-codon position. The record is from RNAcentral.
AGGCGCGUAGCUCAGUUGGUUAGAGCGCUUGCUUGACAGGCAAGAGGUCAACAGUUCGACUCUGUUCGUGCCUACCA